UAUUGAGAGUUUGAUCCUGGCUCAGAAUGAACGCUGGCGGCGUGCCUAACACAUGCAAGUCGAACGAGAAAGGUAGCAAUACUGAGUACAGUGGCGCACGGGUGAGUAAUGCAUAGGAAUCUGCCUUUGAGUGGAGAAUACCCUGGAGAAAUCUAGGUUAAUACUGCAUAAGCCGGAAACGGGAAAGGGGGCCUCAAGCUCCCGCUGAAAGAUGAGCCUAUGUUCUAUUAGUUAGUUGGUGGGGUAAAGGCCUACCAAGACAGAGAUGGAUAGCCGGCCUGAGAGGGUGAUCGGCCACACUGGAACUGAGACACGGUCCAGACUCCUACGGGAGGCAGCAG
This 341-nucleotide ribosomal RNA is filed under the name bacterium. Its description in RNAcentral is "bacterial SSU rRNA". It matches the Rfam family "Bacterial small subunit ribosomal RNA", at positions 1 to 354 of the family's 1533-position model. The record is from RNAcentral.